UAGUCUCGCACAGAUGCAUAUCAAUAAGCGGAGGAAAAGAAACUAACAAGGAUUCCCUUAGUAACGGCGAGUGAAGCGGGAAGAGCUCAAAUUUGAAAUCUUCAAGGUUUUACCUUGACGAAUUGUAGUUUAAAGAAGUGUUUUCUGUUGAAGUUUUGGUAAAAGUUCUUUGGAAUAGGACAUCAUAGAGGGUGAGAAUCCCGUAUUUGACCAUUAUUUUCAGCUGUGUGAUACACUUUCAAAGAGUCGGAUUGUUUGGGAAUGCAGUCCAAAAUGGGUGGUAAAUUUCAUCUAAAGCUAAAUAUUGGCGAGAGACCGAUAGCGAACAAGUACCGUGAGGGAAAGAUGAAAAGAACUUUGAAAAGAGAGUUAAACAGUACGUGAAAUUGUCAAAAGGGAAGCGUUUGACACCAGUGUUGUUUUCUCGAAAAUCAAUUAAAAAGAGUUAGAUUUUGUUGUGUAUUGACCUUAACAGCUUGCAUUUCAAUUUUCUUGCUUUUUUUAAUGCACUUUUCGUUUAACAAGUCAACAUCAGUUACUUUUGUUGUAAAAAGGUCAUUGGAAGGUGGCUUUCUUUUCGGAGAAAGUGUUUAUAGCCUUUGACUCCUGCAAUCGGAGAGACUGAGGUCUGCAGCGUAGAUCCUUCGGGGUUAGAUACAUUUGUGCUAAGUUAUAGCUUUUUAUAGACAACUUGUUGACUAUGAUUAGUCUUGUAGCUUACUCGCUUAUGCUAUUACCUACGCUUAGGAUGUUGAAGAUGUAGCACAUCAU
This 771-nucleotide ribosomal RNA is filed under the name uncultured Neocallimastigales. RNAcentral describes it as "partial large subunit ribosomal RNA". It matches the Rfam family "Eukaryotic large subunit ribosomal RNA", at positions 24 to 620 of the family's 3401-position model. Lineage: Eukaryota; Fungi; Neocallimastigomycota; Neocallimastigomycetes; Neocallimastigales. The record is from RNAcentral.